AUGGCGUCGGAGCCGGUGGCGCGGGCCGUGGCGGAGGAGGUGGCGCGGUGGGGCGGGAUGAGGCAGACAGGUGUCAGCCUGCGCUACAUGAUGGAGUUCGGGGCGCGCCCCACGGAGCGCAACCUGCUGCUCUCCGCGCAGUUCCUGCACAAGGAGCUCCCCAUCCGCAUCGCCAGGCGCGCGCUCGACCUCGACUCCCUCCCCUUCGGCCUCUCCCAUAAGCCCGCCGUCCUCAAGGUGAGAGAUUGGUACUUGGAUUCGUUCCGUGACAUCCGGUACUUCCCGGAGGUGAGCAACCAGGACGAUGAGCUAGCAUUCACCCAGAUGAUCAAGAUGAUCAGGGUGCGUCACACAAAUGUGGUGCCCACCAUGGCAUUGGGUGUGCAGCAGCUGAAGAAGGACCUGGGUGGUACAAAGGCAUUCCCCUCUGGAAUUAAUGAGAUCCAUCAGUUCCUUGAUCGCUUCUACAUGUCAAGAAUUGGGAUCCGCAUGCUGAUAGGGCAGCAUGUUGCUUUGCAUGAUCCUGAUCCAGAGCCUGGCGUCAUAGGGCUCAUAAACACAAGAUUGUCCCCCAUGCUGGUGGCUCGACUUGCUAGUGAAGAUGCACGCGCUAUUUGCAUGCGAGAAUAUGGAUCAGCUCCUGAUGUCAACAUAUAUGGGCACCCAGAUUUUACGUUUCCAUAUGUGACAAUACAUCUACAUCUUAUGAUGUUUGAAUUGGUGAAGAAUUCUCUUCGUGCAGUACAAGAACGAUUUAUGAACUCUGAUAAACAUGCACCUCCUGUUAGGAUCAUAGUUGCUGAUGGAGCAGAGGAUGUAACUAUCAAGAUUAGUGAUGAAGGUGGUGGAAUACCAAGAAGUGGCCUCCCAAGAAUAUUCACCUAUCUCUACAGUACAGCAGAACACCCACCUGAUCUAGAUGGCCAUAAUGGAGUGACAAUGGCUGGGUAUGGUUAUGGGCUCCCAAUUAGUCGUCUUUAUGCUCGAUAUUUUGGCGGGGAUCUGCAAAUAAUUUCUAUGGAGGGAUAUGGAACUGAUGCUUACCUCCACUUAUCACGUCUGGGAGAUUCAGAGGAACCCUUGCCUUAA
This 1089-nucleotide ribosomal RNA is filed under the name Triticum aestivum (bread wheat). Its description in RNAcentral is "partial small subunit ribosomal RNA". The record is from RNAcentral. Lineage: Eukaryota; Viridiplantae; Streptophyta; Magnoliopsida; Poales; Poaceae.